AUUGAACGCUGGCGGCAGGCCUAACACAUGCAAGUCGAACGGUAGCACAGAGAGCUUGCUCUCGGGUGACGAGUGGCGGACGGGUGAGUAAUGUCUGGGAAACUGCCUGAUGGAGGGGGAUAACUACUGGAAACGGUAGCUAAUACCGCAUAACGUCGCAAGACCAAAGAGGGGGACCUUCGGGCCUCUUGCCAUCGGAUGUGCCCAGAUGGGAUUAGCUUGUUGGUGAGGUAAAGGCUCACCAAGGCGACGAUCCCUAGCUGGUCUGAGAGGAUGACCAGCCACACUGGAACUGAGACACGGUCCAGACUCCUACGGGAGGCAGCAGUGGGGAAUAUUGCACAAUGGGCGCAAGCCUGAUGCAGCCAUGCCGCGUGUGUGAAGAAGGCCUUCGGGUUGUAAAGCACUUUAAGCGAGGAGGAGGCUCUUUUGGUUAAUACCCAAGAUGAGUGGACGUUACUCGCAGAAUAAGCACCGGCUAACUCUGUGCCAGCCGCCGCCGUAA
RNAcentral lists this ribosomal RNA (505 nucleotides) under uncultured bacterium. RNAcentral describes it as "partial 16S ribosomal RNA". It matches the Rfam family "Bacterial small subunit ribosomal RNA", at positions 30 to 523 of the family's 1533-position model. The record is from RNAcentral.